Molecule: long non-coding RNA, 225 nt
Filed under: Elaeis guineensis (African oil palm)
Lineage: Eukaryota; Viridiplantae; Streptophyta; Magnoliopsida; Arecales; Arecaceae
Description: long non-coding RNA (EGUI_LNC068096)
Source: RNAcentral
GAACAUUGACGAAGUCUGAAAGAAGUUCGAAGUAAAGUCAUUGGUGGCUGGAAGAAGUCUGGAAGAGAUUCGGAGAAUAGUCGAUCACUAUAGAAAAUCGACUGAUAGUGAAGCUCGGAAAGUAUUUGGAGCAGCCCGGUAUAUGAAUGGAGGAGCUCAUUAUCGGAGAAGUCCAGAUGGUAUCAUGGAAGCUCGGACGGUUGGGAAAGUUCAGAAAGAUGCCAC